Molecule: long non-coding RNA, 353 nt
Organism: Mytilus trossulus (common blue mussel)
Lineage: Eukaryota; Metazoa; Mollusca; Bivalvia; Mytilida; Mytilidae
Exons: 3
Source: RefSeq, a predicted model, not a curated record
AUAACAAGAUUACGUGUAUCUGAACAGCUGAGAAGUUAUAUUUCUAUUGUCGUCUGCCAGCUUACAUUUGUUACAAUGUAGAAACGUAAUUAACUAAUGUGCAUUGUAAAACUAAAGUGAAAUUAUUUAUAAGACACAGGUGGCGUUCUGCAAUAUUUAUGUCUUAACUUUGGAUAAUUAACCUGGCUGCUUCAAUGAAGAUUGCAAUUGUGUCGACGCUGUUUCUACUUUGGUUCCUGUAUUUCGUAGAAUGUGAAGAUACCAAGUUAUUAAUAGGUACAAGGAAGAUUCGGCACAAAAGAUCAGUAAGGCAAAGAGCUUUUAAACGAGCAUGUACUGUUCACACAUGUCAG